Molecule: ribosomal RNA, 568 nt
Filed under: uncultured bacterium
Lineage: Bacteria
Description: bacterial SSU rRNA
Rfam family: Bacterial small subunit ribosomal RNA
Source: RNAcentral
CCUACGGGAGGCAGCAGUGGGGAAUAUUGCACAAUGGGCGAAAGCCUGAUGCAGCAACGCCGCGUGAGGGACGACGGCCUUCGGGUUGUAAACCUCUUUUGGCAGGGAAGAAGCGAAAGUGACGGUACCUGCAGAAAAAGCACCGGCUAACUACGUGCCAGCAGCCGCGGUAAUACGUAGGGUGCAAGCGUUGUCCGGAAUUAUUGGGCGUAAAGAGCUCGUAGGCGGUUUGUCGCGUCUGCUGUGAAAACGCAAGGCUCAACCUUGCGCCUGCAGUGGGUACGGGCAGACUAGAGUGUGGUAGGGGAGAUUGGAAUUCCUGGUGUAGCGGUGGAAUGCGCAGAUAUCAGGAGGAACACCGAUGGCGAAGGCAGAUCUCUGGGCCAUUACUGACGCUGAGGAGCGAAAGCGUGGGGAGCGAACAGGAUUAGAUACCCUGGUAGUCCACGCCGUAAACGUUGGGAACUAGAUGUGGGGUCCAUUCCACGGAUUCCGUGUCGCAGCUAACGCAUUAAGUUCCCCGCCUGGGGAGUACGGCCGCAAGGCUAAAACUUAAAUGAAUUGACGG